UGGACCAGUGAUGACGACGUGUUUAUGAACAAAGGAUCGUGAUUCAUCUAGUUCUGCAAAAUACGGAGGUCCAUU
This 75-nucleotide small nucleolar RNA is filed under the name Castor canadensis (American beaver). RNAcentral describes it as "Small nucleolar RNA SNORD112 (ENSCCNG00000001696.1)". It matches the Rfam family "Small nucleolar RNA SNORD112". The record is from Rfam by way of RNAcentral. Lineage: Eukaryota; Metazoa; Chordata; Mammalia; Rodentia; Castoridae.